AGACAAACGGACCACGGGAUACUGAUUGAGACGAGCUGAUAAUUGUGAUGAGGAGUGCCGGAGCACCGCGGCGGCAACGAGUACGGAUCCACAAAAAGAUGAGAAGCGGAGUUGCCGCCGGCAGGCCACCGGAGAGGCGAGAUGACAUUGGUAAAUUUCACGGGCUCCCGAGAUGACACGAGAUGAGAAGAGCAGC
Molecule: non-coding RNA, 196 nt
Organism: Caenorhabditis elegans
Lineage: Eukaryota; Metazoa; Nematoda; Chromadorea; Rhabditida; Rhabditidae
Source: Ensembl